Dermacentor albipictus is the source of this 797-nucleotide non-coding RNA. The record is from RefSeq and is a predicted model, not a curated record. Lineage: Eukaryota; Metazoa; Arthropoda; Arachnida; Ixodida; Ixodidae.
CAAUGACUCUGCUUGCGUAUGCUCAGAUUGUAAGCUAAAGAAUGCUAAAGCUGUUGCAUCUAUUGUUUGUGUGCGCAUUAUUCUUUGCUAUAAAUUCAAUUAUUCACCUUCAAAAUAGUUUAUUAUUGGGACAUUCUCUUUGUACAUCAUGGAAGGUCAAGAGGACCUACCCUGUCAUUGUAAACCUAUGACAUGCCAUCGUCUUCGCAUAGCGGCUCCUCAUUUAACCAGACAUCUAGCUGUGAACAACAUUACAUUUAUCAAAUAAUGUGCUUGCCAAGUAAAAAACUUAGCUGCAAAGUAAAAAACUUGACCCACAGGGUAUGUUCCUCCAAGUAUGUGAGCGAAUAGACAACAUGGUGAUGGCUGAUGUCCCUUGGAGUAGACAAUGCAACUGGGCAUAGGUCCACUCUUUGCCCCCUUCACCUAUCCCCUAGAAUGGGUGUGUGUCACUGUGACAUAAAGGGUAUAGAAGCCCAAGAUUUAUUCACAAAUGUGUCGCACUGCUCUCUGCAAGUCAUUCUUCCCUCGAUGGGCAUAAUACAGUACAUUGCCUUCAUCCUCAUGAAAGAGGGAGUUCACAGCUACAGGCAGUGGGGCUGUGCUUGUGUAGUCUGUUAAUGCUGCUAACUCAAACAAACUUUGAUUGUAUAAAUUUCAACACUGCAUUGCCUCAAAGUUCACUUUUUUUUUAAUUUGACCUGAAUGUAGAGCUUUUGUGGGAUACACAGGCACUUUAUUAACUAUGAUUUACCUUUAGAUGCAACGCACAAGCAGCAGCAAACUUGCAGCAGCCA